UAUUUGUCCUGUAAAGAGUUGAGCACUGCACUUGGGCGGGACACACCACCUCCCUCCUCCAUGGCACACAGACCCAACACGAGGCAGAGACACAGAGACCCACAGCAGGGUGGGGACAUUCCCAUGCCGCGUGCACACACACACAGACCCACAUGUGGACAGGGGUAUCCUCCCGUGCUUGGCCUCAAUGCAGGCCUGCUGGGCCCAUAUGUGGCUGUCGUCCUCAUCACCCUCAUGGUUCAGCUGGCACUCUUCCAGCCCCCUGGGGGAUGACCAGGAUGACCAUCAGAGAUGGACCUGGCCAGGAGAUGUCUGACCACACCCCAACCCCAGGGCUAACAUCCAUGCUUCUUCCCCACAUUUCCUGCUUGCCAGUAAAGCCUUCAAUAAACAUACAAACAAAAAAAGGAAUGGUUCAGCAAAUUCAGUCUGCGUGCAUGGAGUGCCAGGACCGUGGGGAGCAGAUCAGUCCUAAAGACAGAUGUAAAAGCUGCAAUGGAAGGAAGAUAGUUCAAGAGAAGAAACUUCUAGAAGUUCAUAUUGACAAAGGCAUGAAAGAUGGCCAGAAGAUAACAUUCCAUGGUGAAGGAGACCAAGAACCAGGACUGGAGCCAGGAGAUAUUAUCACUGCUUUAGAUCAGAAGGACCAUGCUGUUUUUACUAGAUGAGGAGACCUUGGCAUGUGGAUGGACACACAGCUGGUUGAAGUAUUGUGUGACUUCCAAAAGCUGACGUCUACUCUUGACAACUGAACCACAGUCACCACCUCGGAGAUAUCAAGUGUGUACUAAAUGAAGGCAUGCCAAUUUACUGUAGACUGUAUGAAAAGGGUCACCUAAUCACCGAAUUUCAGGUAAACUUUCCUGAGAAUGGCGUUCUCUCUCCUGAUAAACUGUCUUUGCUGGAAAAACUCCUAUCGGAGAGGAAGGAGUAGAAGAGACUGAUGAGAUGGAUCAGGUAGAACUGGUGGACUUUGAUCCAAAUCAGGAAAGACGGCGCCAUUACAAUGGAGAAGCAUAUGAGGAUGAUGACCAUCACCCCAGAGGUGGUGUUCAGUGCCAGACCUCUUAAUGGGCCAGUGAAUAACACUCACUGCUGGCAUUUUAUGUGCAGUAGUGAAUGAGUAA
This is an RNA transcript of Sapajus apella (tufted capuchin), 1127 nucleotides long. It is a transcript of the gene named dnaJ homolog subfamily A member 1 pseudogene, with no coding region annotated. The transcript has a single exon. NCBI's taxonomy places the organism in Eukaryota, Metazoa, Chordata, Mammalia, Primates, Cebidae. The record is from RefSeq and is a predicted model, not a curated record.